Molecule: ribosomal RNA, 467 nt
Filed under: uncultured bacterium
Lineage: Bacteria
Description: partial 16S ribosomal RNA
Rfam family: Bacterial small subunit ribosomal RNA
Source: RNAcentral
GACGAACGCUGGCGGCGUGCUUAACACAUGCAAGUCGAACGGAAAGGCCUGCUUUUGUGGGGUGCUCGAGUGGCGAACGGGUGAGUAACACGUGAGUAACCUGCCCUUGACUUUGGGAUAACUUCAGGAAACUGGGGCUAAUACCGGAUAGGAGCUCCUGCUGCAUGGUGGGGGUUGGAAAGUUUCGGCGGUUGGGGAUGGACUCGCGGCUUAUCAGCUUGUUGGUGGGGUAGUGGCUUACCAAGGCUUUGACGGGUAGCCGGCCUGAGAGGGUGACCGGCCACAUUGGGACUGAGAUACGGCCCAGACUCCUACGGGAGGCAGCAGUGGGGAAUAUUGCACAAUGGGCGGAAGCCUGAUGCAGCAACGCCGCGUGCGGGAUGACGGCCUUCGGGUUGUAAACCGCUUUCGCCUGUGACGAAGCGUGAGUGACGGUAAUGGGUAAAGAAGCACCGGCCAACUACGUG